CAUGCACAUUGCAUAAUUUAUGUUGUCCAUCCAUUAUUCCAACCUAUUCACUUCAAUGCAAAGGAAAAGCAAUGCAAAAAACAACAUUGUAAUCAAUCAUGUAUUAUUAUUUUUUUGCAGAAAGAAAGCAAGAAUGACAGAGAAUACCGAUUACAUUUGCUGGAUUGCAUUCCGUUCCAGACAAAUAAGUGAAUAUCAGCAGUUUCUGCAUCUGCUUCCAUCAGAAUCCUCUGACAUUCAUACUGUAGAUAGGAUCAUUUCAAGGAAGAUGUUGCGAGGGAGAUGGGAAUUUUCCUAAGCCAUGCAAGGUCUUUGACUUUGAGCUCUGGCUCUCUGUGGGCACAAACUGCCUCGGCCUUCGGCUGUCAGCUGAAUGACCAGGCAGAGUAUAUCUCAGAUGCUUCCUGCUAUAGUCUGCUUUACUUGACAACCACUGCUGUUCUCUCUGUUCAUGUAUGUCACACACAGGCCCUGAGCAAAUGCCCUUUUCAAGGUCACGCGAUAGACUUUUAUUAUUCUUGUCGUAAGGCAUCUGUCGUCUCCGGAAACAGCCCAAUGACCUCAGCAGUGUUACCCAAGCUGAUAUAAGCAUUCAAGAAAUGUCAAAGACAGAUGGCUUGAGAGACUCUCUUCCACUGCUUCUAAAUCACCGUGGACCUGCAUCUUGCGCAAGCUGAGCUCUGCAAACGGCGAAGGACUGUGAAGAAAAUGAGGCCAAUAUAGUAUCUAACACAAACCUGCUUUGCUGUAAUUUGAAGCCAGAUUGAAUGGUGCUGCCCACAAUUUAAAGCUCUGCACUUGCUCCCCAGCCUAUUCAUCACAAGGCCGGAUGCUGGUGUUUGGGAGCCCUGGCGCAGUUCCCCAAACAGGGCCUCUUCCCCCUAAAAAGGAGUGCCCAAAAUGCCUGAAAUAAUCCCC
Molecule: long non-coding RNA, 918 nt
Filed under: Podarcis lilfordi (Lilford's wall lizard)
Lineage: Eukaryota; Metazoa; Chordata; Lepidosauria; Squamata; Lacertidae
Source: RNAcentral